UUGACCUCAAAUCGGGUGAGACUACCCGCUGAACUUAAGCAUAUCAAUAAGCGGAGGAAAAGAAACUAACGAGGAUUCCCCUAGUAACUGCGAGUGAAGCGGGAAAAGCUCAAAUUUAAAAUCUGGUGGUCUUUGGCCAUCCGAGUUGUAAUUUAGAGAAGCGUCUUCCGCGCUGGACCGUGCACAAGUCUCCUGGAAUGGAGCGUCAUAGAGGGUGAGAAUCCCGUCUUUGGCACGGACCCCAGGGCUUCUGUGAUGCGCUCUCGAAGAGUCGAGUUGUUUGGGAAUGCAGCUCAAAAUGGGUGGUGAACUCCAUCUAAAGCUAAAUAUUGGCGAGAGACCGAUAGCGAACAAGUACCGUGAGGGAAAGAUGAAAAGCACUUUGGAAAGAGAGUGAAACAGUACGUGAAAUUGUUGAAAGGGAAACGCUUGAAGUCAGUCGCGUCGACCGAGACUCAACCUCGCCUCGGCUUGGUGUACUUCUCGGCCGACGGGUCAGCAUCAAUCUCGAUCCUCGGAUAAUGGCGAGGGAAAGGUGGCACCCUUGCGGGUGUGUUAUAGUCCCCUGUCGCAUGCGAGGGUCAGGAUUGAGGAACUCAGCGCGCGCCUCUCGGUGUCGGAGCGUUUCACGCUCAC
Molecule: ribosomal RNA, 636 nt
Filed under: Russula pallescens
Lineage: Eukaryota; Fungi; Basidiomycota; Agaricomycetes; Russulales; Russulaceae
Description: eukaryotic LSU rRNA
Rfam family: Eukaryotic large subunit ribosomal RNA
Source: RNAcentral